Molecule: ribosomal RNA, 253 nt
Filed under: uncultured bacterium
Lineage: Bacteria
Description: partial 16S ribosomal RNA
Rfam family: Bacterial small subunit ribosomal RNA
Source: RNAcentral
CACGUAGGGCGCGAGCGUUGUCCGGAAUUAUUGGGCGUAAAGAGCUCGUAGGCGGUCUGUCGCGUCGGGAGUGAAAUCCACUGGCUUAACUGGUGGCUUGCUUUCGAUACGGGCAGACUGGAGGUAUGCAGGGGAGAACGGAAUUCCUGGUGUAGUGGUGAAAUGCGCAGAUAUCAGGAGGAACACCGGUGGCGAAGGCGGGUCUCUGGGCCGAUACUGACGCUGAGGAGCGAAAGCGUGGGGAGCAAACAGG